GCGCUGGGCCGGCAGGGCGGCGAGCUGCGCCGCGUUGUCGGCGGAGCGCCGCUCGAUCGUGCCGAGCUCCGCCGUG
This 76-nucleotide transfer RNA is filed under the name Methylobacterium iners. RNAcentral describes it as "tRNA-Asp". The record is from RNAcentral. Lineage: Bacteria; Pseudomonadati; Pseudomonadota; Alphaproteobacteria; Hyphomicrobiales; Methylobacteriaceae.